This 82-nucleotide transfer RNA is filed under the name Sphaerodactylus townsendi. RNAcentral's name for it is "tRNA-Ala". It matches the Rfam family "tRNA". Rfam says of the family: Transfer RNA (tRNA) molecules are approximately 80 nucleotides in length. Lineage: Eukaryota; Metazoa; Chordata; Lepidosauria; Squamata; Sphaerodactylidae. The record is from RNAcentral.
GGAACUGUGGCUCAGUGGUAAAGCUUUGGUCUUGCAAGCUGCAUGCAAAAAAAUUUCCCAGGUUCAAUCCCUGACACUUUCA